CCUACGGGAGGCAGCAGUUAGGGAUCUUGUGCAAUGGGGGAAACCCUGACACAGCAACGCCGCGUGAGGGAUGAAGGCCUUCGGGUCGUAAACCUCUUUUCUGAGGGAAGAAACCUGACGGUACCUCAGGAAUAAGCAACGGCUAACUACGUGCCAGCAGCCGCGGUAAU
This 170-nucleotide ribosomal RNA is filed under the name uncultured bacterium. RNAcentral describes it as "partial 16S rRNA". It matches the Rfam family "Bacterial small subunit ribosomal RNA", at positions 338 to 524 of the family's 1533-position model. The record is from RNAcentral.